RNAcentral lists this ribosomal RNA (253 nucleotides) under uncultured bacterium. RNAcentral's name for it is "partial 16S ribosomal RNA". It matches the Rfam family "Bacterial small subunit ribosomal RNA", at positions 524 to 776 of the family's 1533-position model. The record is from RNAcentral.
UACGUAGGUGGCGAGCGUUGUCCGGAUUUAUUGGGCGUAAAGCGCGCGCAGGCGGUUGUCUAAGUCUGCUGUGAAAUCUCCCGGCUCAACUGGGAGGGGGCGGCGGAGACUGGGCGACUGGAGGGACCUAGAGGCCGGUGGAAUUCCCGGUGUAGUGGUGAAAUGCGUAGAGAUCAGGAAGAACACCCGUGGCGAAGGCGGCCCACUGGGCCGGUACUGACGCUGAGGCACGAAGGCGUGGGGAGCGAACGGG